GUCAUUACGUUCUCAGUCAGAAAUAUCUUCAAAAUAUCUGCGGCUGUUUAUCUCCAGCAAGAUGGACAUCGAUAAAUAUGACUUCUGGGCGAUUUUGUAAACGUAGUGAAAUUGAAUUGUGCAUCAGAAAAGAUUCGAAAUACUUGAAACACGUGAAAACAGAAACCCAAAAUGGAUGUUUCUCUUCUUGCAGGAAAAUACACUAUGAGACGAAAGAGAACCGAUAUGACUGGCCAGUAGAUAAGGAAUCAAUGGAAUUGAAAUUUUUGAACCACACAGAGUUUUCAACUGUAGAUGAAAUGAGG
Molecule: long non-coding RNA, 305 nt
Organism: Limulus polyphemus (Atlantic horseshoe crab)
Lineage: Eukaryota; Metazoa; Arthropoda; Merostomata; Xiphosura; Limulidae
Exons: 4
Source: RefSeq, a predicted model, not a curated record